GAAAAUUUAGUUAAAAUUAUAACAUUAUCAUGUCAAAAUAAAAUUAUUAAUAUAAAUAAUUUUCC
This 65-nucleotide transfer RNA is filed under the name Blatta orientalis (oriental cockroach). RNAcentral's name for it is "tRNA-Asp". Lineage: Eukaryota; Metazoa; Arthropoda; Insecta; Blattodea; Blattidae. The record is from RNAcentral.